This 25-nucleotide microRNA is filed under the name Mus musculus (house mouse). Its description in RNAcentral is "mmu-miR-5110". Lineage: Eukaryota; Metazoa; Chordata; Mammalia; Rodentia; Muridae. The record is from miRBase by way of RNAcentral.
GGAGGAGGUAGAGGGUGGUGGAAUU